AAAAUUCUAUCACUGCGGCGAGCGGCUUGUUGUUGUUGCCUUAACACAAUAGUAUUUUACAUUUUUAGUUUUAACGUCACAUGACAUUUUCCGUCGGAUUUUUUAUUUUAAUUGUUUUUAUUCAAUUCGCAGCAAUACACGUUUCGGUAGCCAAUCGACCGCAUAAAUAAGGAUCGAUAAGGACAUAAUAAUAUUGUAAUACACGACGGAUUUAUAUCGAAACUAUUAGUAUCAAAAUUUAGAAAAUGUCCGAUCCAUACUGCUUGACUUAUUGCGUGGGGUGCCGUCAGAAGACGUCGUGGAGCGGUCAGCCGACCCUGAAUCAAACUCGAAACUUCAAGGCCGGUCUGCGCGGUGUGUGCAUUAAGUGCAACAAGACAAAAUUCACGUUCGUCACCACAGUCUACUACUGUAGCAAACGGCAAAAUCAGUCGUCUGGGACAAGUGCGGGUUGACGACAAUUUUAACCGAUUCAAAAAUUAUACGUAUUCAAUUUUAUAAAAAAAAUAAAUAAAUUUUAUGGUUUUA
Molecule: long non-coding RNA, 528 nt
Organism: Aphis gossypii (cotton aphid)
Lineage: Eukaryota; Metazoa; Arthropoda; Insecta; Hemiptera; Aphididae
Exons: 3
Source: RefSeq, a predicted model, not a curated record